RNAcentral lists this long non-coding RNA (6081 nucleotides) under Lactuca sativa (garden lettuce). RNAcentral's name for it is "long non-coding RNA (LSAT_LNC004763)". Lineage: Eukaryota; Viridiplantae; Streptophyta; Magnoliopsida; Asterales; Asteraceae. The record is from RNAcentral.
CAUCUUGGACUUCUUCUGACAUUUUGAGGUCUUUUUCUUUUGCUUGAUUUUCCUCUUUGCUCACUGUUUCAUCCUCAUUCAAUUCAGAUUCAACCUUCUCUAAUCCUGUCACUUCAUGGACUUCCUUAACCAGGGAGCUUUCAGACUUUUCUGUUUGACCAUCAUCAUUGACUACAUCCUCCUUUUUUUCUAUGGUUUCGACACUAGAUUUGAUUUCUUCAGUGUCUUCCUCUAUACUUUCUCUAGUUUCAAAAAACUCAGGUUCUUUACCUUCUUCUUGGUAGUUCUUUUUUUGCAAGUCUUCUUCUAAUGCUGCAACCUGUGAGGUUGUUACAUUGUCCUCACCUUGACCUUCUGCCGACAUGUUGACCUGAUCCUUUUCUUGAUCUUCAUCUUUAAAAGUUUCUAUUGCUUUUAUCCCUUCUUCAGAUUCAACCUUUUCCGAACUAGUCUCAUCACAUACCUCUUUGACAGAGUGGAUAGGAGGCGUUUCCAUUUGAUCAUCAUCAUGCUCAAUAGGCUCUUUGUUUUUUUCUUCAGUUUCUGUUUUCUCUUCUUGAGAUUCCACUUGUGCUGAUGUGAAAACAUCAGUUGUGAUGGCAUGUGGCAACUCUCCUUGCUCCACUUUUUCUUUUGUUUUAACAUUUGUGCUUAUAAGUUCAUUAUCUUCCUCCAUGCUUUCUCUAGUUUCAAAAAAUACAUCCUCAGAGGCUGCAACUGUAUCCUGUGAGCAUAUAACUUCAUCCUCACUUUGGUCUUUUUCUGGUAUGUUGAGCUCUUGUUCCUUUUCUUGAUAUUCAUCUUUGCUUAAAAUUUCUAUUUCUUUCUCAUUCUGAUACAUAUCGGAAUUUAUCCCUUCUUCAGAUACAGUCUUCUUUAAGUCAGUCUCUUCACAUACUUCCUGUUGCUCCUUUUCAUCUGUUUCAACACUUGGUUUGAUUUCUUCAGUAUACAUCUCUUGCUCAAAAAUUAUGCUGGCACUUUCUUCUAUUUUAUCUUUUGCUCCAUUAUCAUCAUACUGCUCGCUUGCCUAUAUGAAGAGUGUAUUUUGAGUACAUGGGCAGAAUGGACAAUACAGAACUUGGUAAGUCUAAUGUAUAGUCAAAGUUUGUAAAACAAUCUGUGUAACAGCUUAGUUUAUUGGUCUCUUUUUCAAAAGAAAAUUAUGAGCAGCAUUUGCUCUAAAGUCUAAACUACUUUAUAAAACGGGUUUCCCUUAGAAUUUAUCAUUUUCAUAAAUAUCCACAACUUGCUUUUCUUCUAGUUCUAUACCCCUCCCCAAUUGUACUGUUCAAUUGAAUAAAUCAAGUUCUGUAUUUGAAGUUACACUUAAUAUGCUCUAUAAAAUAUGUAUUUUAUCUUGUUUAGGGCCCUUAAAAUGGUCUAAUAUAUAUAUAUNNNNNNNNNNNNNNNNNNNUAUAUAUAUAUAUAUAUAUAUAUAUAUUUGUAAGAGAUACUUGAACUACCGAGUUGAACAACUUAUGCAUUUGUUACUUUCUCAAACACAUGAGAUGAGAAAUUUUGUAGCAGACAACAUAAUGUCUUGAUAAUUUUAGCAUUGCAAGUUUAGUUGGAAUGAUGUACAAGUAAAACCUUUUGAAAUAAUUAGAGAUUACUUAAGAUGAACAUAAAUUACCUCUUGAGCAUGAAUUGAUUUGUCUUCUAUUUCUUCCUUGAGGAUCUCUUUGGUCAAUGCACUAUCAUCUUUGCUCUCCUCAAAAUCAACCACUGUGGUAACAUGUUGACCAAUUGUUGACUCUUGUAUAUCCUCACACGUUGCAUCUUCUGAACUUGUAACGGCAUCCCCACCACCUUGGACUUCUUCUGGCAUUUUGAGUUCAUGUUCCUUUUCUUGAUUUUCCUCUUUGCUCACUAUCUCAUUCUCAUUCAAUUCAGGUUUAGCCUUCUCUGAUCCUGUCACUUCACACACCUCCUUAACCAAUGGGCUUUCAAACUCAUCAUUGACUAUAGCAUCUUCCUCAAUCUUUUCUUCAUUUUCCAUAGUUUCUUUUUUAGGUUCUAUUUCUGUUGAGCUGCAAACAUCAGUAGUAAUGACAUGCAGCAACCCUUGUUGCUCCAUAUUUUCUUUUGUUUCUAUACUAGAUUCGAUUUCUUCAAUGUUUUCCUCUACACUUUCUCUCGUUUCAACAACUUCAGGUUCUUUACCUUCUUCUUGGUAGUUCUUUUCUUGCAAGUCUUCUUCUAAGGCUGCAACCUGUGAGCUUGUUACAUUAUCCUCGCCUUGACCUUCUGUUGACAUGUCAACCUGAUCCUUUUCUUGUUCUUCAUCCUUGAAAGUUUCAAUAGCUUUUACCUCUUGUUCAGAUUCAACCUUUUUUGAGCUAGUCUCAUCGCAUACCUCCUUGGUAGUCUCUUCAUAAACCUCCUUCAUAGACUCUUCAUUCUUUUGUUCAGUUUCCGUGGUCUCUUCUUGAGAUUCUGUUUGUGCUGAUAUGCAAGCUACCUCUUGAGCAUCACUUGGUUUUUCCUCUGUUUCUUCCAUAAGGAUCUCUUUAGGCAUUAAACCUAUCGCUUGUCCCUCCUCUAAAUAGGCCACUGUAGUGUCCUGUUGACCAACUGUUGUUUCUUUUAUAUCCUCACACGUUGCAUCUUUUGAACUUGUAGUUGUAACAUCAUCCCCUAAACCUUUUCCUGACACAUAAACCUCUUGUUCCUUUUCUUCAUCUUCAACUUUGUUCACUAUUUCUUUCUCAUUUGUUGUUUCUUUUACCUCUUCGCUAUAUUCAACUUUCUCUGAACUGGUCUCUUCACAUACUUCAUUGACUGGGGAGCUGUCAACAUUUUCCUUUUGACCAUUAUCACUCUGAAUAGGCUCGUCACUUUUUACUUCAUGUUCUUCACUUUCUACCUGAGAUUUUGUUUGUGAUGUGAUGCAAUCAUCAUGCAACAGUUCUUGCUGCUUGGUUUCAACACUUGGUUUGAUUUCUUUAGUAUCUUCCUCUUGCUCAAUCUCUGAACAAGAUUGAACAGUUUUGUUGUCGCUUUCAUCAGGCUUUUGUUCUGUUUUGUCCUAUUAGAGAAAAAGUAUUCAGUUAGAUAUGAUGAUUUAUAUAAAUAGGCUCAAAGUUUUUAAAAACAAUCUCUGUGGUAGGUUUUUUUCAUUGUUCUUUUUUAAGAUAAUUGUGAGUGACAGUUGUUCUUUAUAACAUUAACAUGAUUCUACAUUGCUUAGUAAUAAAACAUUAAAAGUUUUAGUAGGAAAGAUAUACAAGUAAAACCUUUUGGAUUGUUCAGAGUUAACAUGGGAUGAACACGAAUUACCUCUUGAGCAUCAAUUGCACUCUGAUUCGGCUCCUCGAACUCGAUAUCAGCCACUGGGGUAGCCUUUUGACCAAUUAUUGUUUCUUUUAUAUCCUCGCUGGAUGCAUUCUGUGAGCUUGUAACAUCAUCUCCACCACCUUGGACUUCUUUUGACAUUUUAAUCUCUUGUUCCUUUUCUUGAUUUUCCUCAUUGUUCACUAUUUCAUUCUCAUUCAAUUCAGAUUCAGCCUUCUCUGAGCUUGUUGCUUCACAUACUUCCUUCACCAAGGGGCUUUCAGACUUAUCUGUUUGACCAUCAUCAUUCACCAAUGCCUCUUCAUCAAUCUUUAUAUCAUCUUUUGUUUCGGCACUAGAUUUGAUUUCUUCAGUAUCUUCCUCUAAAUACUCUCUAGGUUUGACAAAUUCGGGUUCCUUACCUUCAUCAUCAUAUUUUGUUUCUGGUAAGUCCUGUAUAGAAGUUGCAUCUUGUGAGAAAGUGACAUCAUCUUUUCCUUGGUCUUCUUCUGAAAUGAUGGACUCUUGUUCUUGUUCUUGUUCUUUUUCUUUUUCUUGAUGUUCAUCUUUGUCAGAAGGUUCUACCCCUUCAAAUUUACCCUUCUCUAAGUGAGUUUCUUCACAUACUUCAGUCACAUCUUCAUCGUCUGUAAUCUUUACCUGCUCCUUUUCAUCUGUUUCCACACUUGGCUUGAUUUCUUCAGCAUUUUCAUUUUUGUUGACACUUUCCUCGGGCUUUUGUUCUAUUUUUUCAUUUGCUCCACUCUCAUCCUGCUCACUUGCCUAUAUGAACACAAGUAUUUUGAGUACAUGUGGAGAAUAAAAGUAACACAUCAUGAUAAGUCUAAUGCAUAGUCAAACUUUUAAAACAAUCUUUGUGGCAGCUUCAAAAAAAUUUGUGAGCCAAAUUUGCUAUAAACUACUUUAUAGAAUGGUUUUCUCUAAACAUUUAUCGUUUUAUGAACUCUAACUCUUCUCAACAAAUGAAACUAAACGUUUGGAUGAGACAAGCAUUUGACAUUAAAAUUAUGUAUGAAAAUCAUAAUAUUGUCUUAUACUUUUAUAAAUUAAACAUAAAACUAGUAAGAAUUAGCCUUAACAUUUAACAAUACAUUAGUAUAAUAUGUGAUUUUUAGUUUCUCUUACACAUGAGAUAAGAAAAUAUGUAGCAGACAACAACAUUUCCAUAUGUCAUAAUGAUUAUAGCAUUUCAAAUUCUAGUAAGACUGAUCUACAAUUAAAACUGUAAAACCUUUUAGGAAUAGUUAGGUUUACUUAGAAUGAACAUGAAUUACCUCUUGCACAUCAGUUGAUUUGUCCUCUGCUUCUUCCUUAAGGAUCUCCUUAGGCGUUGAGUUUAGAGCCUGUUCCUCCUCUAAAUAGGCCACUGUAGUAACAUGCUCACCAGUUGUUGUUUCUUUUAUAUCCUCAAAUGUUGCAUCUUGUGAACUUGUAACAUCAUCCCCUAAACCUUUUCCUGACACAUAAACCUCUUGUUCCUUUUCUUCAUCUUCAACUUUGCUUGCUAUUUCGUUUUCAUUCAGAUCGAUAUUAACACUGUCAGAAAGUUUUAACCCUUCUUCAGAUUCAACCUUCUCUGAGACAGUCUCUUCACAUACUUCCUUCACCAUGGUCUCUGUAUUAGAACUAUCAGAGUAGUUCACCUCUUCUUUAUAUUCAAUUUUCUCUGAACUAGCCUCUUCACAUACUUCAACACUUGGUUUGGUUUCUUCAGUAUCUUUCUCUUGCUCAAUUUCUGAACCAGACUGUACAAUUUUGUUGUCACUUUCUGCAGACUUUUGUUCUUUUUUGUCCUAUUAGAGAAGAAAUAUUCAGUAUAUUAUACGACUGAAAGAAAAGAAAUGAUGAUUUAUAUAAACAGGCUUAAAGUUUUUAAAAACAAUCUUAAGGGUAGGUUUUUUUCAUUGUUAUUCUAUAAAAUAAAUGUGAGCGACAGUUGUACUUUAUAACAUGAAUCUACAUUGGUUAGUGAUAAAAAAAAGCAUUUCAAGUUUUAGUUGGAAUGAUGUACAAGUAAAACCUUUUGGAUUGUUUAGGAGUUAACAUGGUAUGAACAUGAUUUACCUCUUGAACAUCAAUCACACUCUGAUUCUGCUCCUCGAACUCGAUAUUAGCCACUGGGGUAGCCUGUUGACCAAUUGUUGUUUCUUUUAUAUCCUCACUGGAUGCAUUCUGUGAUCUUGUAACAUCAUCUCCACCACCUUGGACUUCUUCUGACAUUUUAAGCUCUUGUUCCUUUUCUUGAUUUUCCUCUUUGCUCACUAUUUCGUUCUCAUUCAAUUCAGAUUCAGCCUUCUCUGAGGUUGUCGCAUCAUAUACUUCCUUCACCAAGGGGCUUUCAGACUUCUUUGUUUGAUCAUCAUCAUUCACUAAUGCCUCUUCAUCAAUCUUUAUAUCAUCUUUUGUAUCAGCACUAGAUUUGAUUUCUUGAGUAUCUUCGUCUAUAUUCUCUCUAGGUUUGACAAAUACAGGUAAGUUCUCUAUAGUGGUUGCAUCUUGUGAGCAUGUGAUAUCAUCUUUUCCUUGGUCUUCUUCUGAAAUGAUGGACUCUUGUUCUUUUUCUUUUUCUUGAUCUUUAUCAUUGUCAGAAGGUUCUACCCCUUCAAAAUUUCCCUUCUCUAAUUGAGUUUCUGCACAUACUUCAAUCACAUCUUCUUCAUAGUCUGUAAUCUUCACUUGUUCCUUUUCAUCUAUUUCCACACUUGGCUUGAUUUCUUCGGUAUCUUCAAUUUUGUUGACAAUUUCCUCGGGAUUUUGUUCUAUUUUUUCGUUUGCUCCACUCUC